Molecule: ribosomal RNA, 420 nt
Filed under: uncultured bacterium
Lineage: Bacteria
Description: bacterial SSU rRNA
Rfam family: Bacterial small subunit ribosomal RNA
Source: RNAcentral
UGGGGAAUCUUGCGCAAUGGCCUAACGGCUGACGCAGCGACGCCGCGUGUGGGAUGACGCCCUUCGGGGUGUAAACCACUGUUGCCCGGGACGAAGAGCGAACUUCAGUUCGCCUGACGGUACCGGGUGAGGAAGCACCGGCUAACUCCGUGCCAGCAGCCGCGGUAAUACGGAGGGUGCGAGCGUUGUCCGGAAUCACUGGGCGUAAAGGGCGCGUAGGCGGCUUUUUAAGGGUGCGGUGAAAGCCCGGGGCUUAACCCCGGGUCGGCCGUGCCGACUGAAAAGCUGGAGCACUGUAGAGGCAGGUGGAAUUCCGGGUGUAGCGGUGGAAUGCGUAGAGAUCCGGAAGAACACCAGUGGCGAAGGCGGCCUGCUGGGCAGUUGCUGACGCUGAUGCGCGACAGCGUGGGGAGCAAACAG